Molecule: ribosomal RNA, 492 nt
Filed under: uncultured bacterium
Lineage: Bacteria
Description: partial 16S ribosomal RNA
Rfam family: Bacterial small subunit ribosomal RNA
Source: RNAcentral
AGUGAACGCUGGCGGUAGGCCUAACACAUGCAAGUCGAACGGCAGCACAGUAAGAGCUUGCUCUUACGGGUGGCGAGUGGCGGACGGAUGAGGAAUACAUCGGAAUCUACUUUUUCGUGGGGGAUAACGUAGGGAAACUUACGCUAAUACCGCAUACGACCUACGGGCGAAAGCAGGGGAUCUUCGGACCUUGCGCGAUUGAAUGAGCCGAUGUCGGAUUAGCUAGUUGGCGGGGUAAAGGCCCACCAAGGCGACGAUCCGUAGCUGGUCUGAGAGGAUGAUCAGCCACACUGGAACUGAGACACGGUCCAGACUCCUACGGGAGGCAGCAGUGGGGAAUAUUGGACAAUGGGCGCAAGCCUGAUCCAGCCAUACCGCGUGGGUGAAGAAGGCCUUCGGGUUGUAAAGCCCUUUUGUUGGGAAAGAAAAGCAGCAGGUUAAUACCCCGCUGUUCUGACGGUACCCAAAGAAUAAGCACCGGCUAACUUCGUG